AAGCUCGUAGUUGAAUUUCGGGAUUGGCGUGUCGGUCGUGCCUUAAGGGGUAUGAACUGGCGUCGUCGAUUUCUCACCUUCUGGAGAAUCACGAUGCCCUUAAUUGGGUGUCGUGUGGAACCAGGACCUUUACUUUGAAAAAAUUAGAGUGUUAAAGCAGGCAUUUUGCUUGAAUACAUUAGCAUGGAAUAAUGGAAUAGGACAAUGGUUCUAUUUGUUGGUUUCUAGGACCGUUGUAAUGAUAAUAGGGAUAGUGGG
Molecule: ribosomal RNA, 258 nt
Filed under: Glomus sp. BSLA-3
Lineage: Eukaryota; Fungi; Glomeromycota; Glomeromycetes; Glomerales; Glomeraceae
Description: partial 18S ribosomal RNA
Rfam family: Eukaryotic small subunit ribosomal RNA
Source: RNAcentral